This 434-nucleotide ribosomal RNA is filed under the name uncultured bacterium. Its description in RNAcentral is "bacterial SSU rRNA". It matches the Rfam family "Bacterial small subunit ribosomal RNA", at positions 355 to 787 of the family's 1533-position model. The record is from RNAcentral.
UGAGGAAUAUUGGUCAAUGGGCGGGAGCCUGAACCAGCCAAGCCGCGUGAGGGAGGAAGGCCCUAUGGGUCGUAAACCUCUUUUGUCAGGGAACAAAAGCGAGUAUGUAUACUAGUCUGAGUGUACCUGAAGAAAAAGCAUCGGCUAACUCCGUGCCAGCAGCCGCGGUAAUACGGAGGAUGCGAGCGUUAUCCGGAUUUAUUGGGUUUAAAGGGUGCGUAGGCGGCGGUGCAAGUCAGCGGUAAAAGCCCGGGGCUCAACCCCGGCGAGCCGUUGAAACUGCAGUGCUAGAGAAGGCGAGAGGUACGCGGAAUGCGCAGUGCAGCGGUGAAAUGCUUAGAUAUUGCGCAGAACUCCGAUUGCGAAGGCAGCGUACUGGCGCCUGACUGACGCUGAGGCACGAAAGCGUGGGGAUCGAACAGGAUUAGAUACCC